Molecule: ribosomal RNA, 1016 nt
Filed under: Russula paludosa
Lineage: Eukaryota; Fungi; Basidiomycota; Agaricomycetes; Russulales; Russulaceae
Description: partial large subunit ribosomal RNA
Rfam family: Eukaryotic large subunit ribosomal RNA
Source: RNAcentral
UUUUUUUUUUGUUUCCCCCCCCCGCGGGCGGAACUCGCAUAUCAAUAAGCGGAGGAAAAGAAACUAACAAGGAUUCCCCUAGUAACUGCGAGUGAAGCGGGAAAAGCUCAAAUUUAAAAUCUGAUGGUCUUUGGCCGUCCGAGUUGUAAUUUAGAGAAGCGUCUUCCGCGCUGGACCGUGCACAAGUCUCCUGGAAUGGAGCGUCAUAGAGGGUGAGAAUCCCGUCUUUGGCACGGACACACCAGGGCUUUUGUGAUGCGCUCUCGAAGAGUCGAGUUGUUUGGGAAUGCAGCUCAAAAUGGGUGGUGAACUCCAUCUAAAGCUAAAUAUUGGCGAGAGACCGAUAGCGAACAAGUACCGUGAGGGAAAGAUGAAAAGCACUUUGGAAAGAGAGUGAAACAGUACGUGAAAUUGUUGAAAGGGAAACGCUUGAAGUCAGUCGCGUCGACCGAGACUCAGCCUUGCCUUGGCUUGGUGUACUUCUCGGCUGACGGGUCAGCAUCAAUUUUGCCCCUUGGAUAAUGGCGAGGGAAAUGUGACACCUUUGCGGUGUGUUAUAGUCCCUCGUCGCAUGCAAGGGUUGGGAUUGAGGAACUCAGCACGCGCCUUUGGGCGUCGGGGCUUUGCCCACGAUACGUGCUUAGGAUGUUGGCGUAAUGGCUUUAAACGACCCGUCUUGAAACACGGACCAAGGAGUCUAACAUGCCUGCGAGUGUUCGGGUGGAAAACCCGUGCGCGCAAUGAAAGUGAAAGUUGGGACCUCUGUCGUGGAGGGCACCGACGCCCGGACCAGACCUUCUGUGACGGCUCUGCGGUAGAGCAUGUAUGUUAGGACCCGAAAGAUGGUGAACUAUGCCUGAAUAGGGUGAAGCCAGAGGAAACUCUGGUGGAGGCUCGUAGCGAUUCUGACGUGCAAAUCGAUCGUCAAAUUUGGGUAUAGGGGCGAAAGACUAAUCGAACCAUCUAAUAGCUGGUACUGUCGUUUUUUUUUGAUUUAAAAAAAAAAGAGAAAAAAA